AGCUAUUAUGUAACCGACAUAAAUCAUGUGAGCUAUCAUGGAUUCCAACGUCUAACCCACGUAAAAGGGUUUUCUCUCCUUGCUAUCUGAAUAGAACCUGAACUGUAAUGAUCACUAAUUGAUGUCACGAAGGACUAAGGAGUCACCCUAUACUUGUAGGUUCUCUCAUAAGAUAUGUGUCAAACCUAAGUUGGCAGGAAGACAUCUCAAAUCUAUGUUGUCUAUGUAGUUCUAUAACUUAGGGAUUGCUACUAAGGGUCACACCCUAUACUGG
Molecule: long non-coding RNA, 274 nt
Filed under: Capsicum annuum
Lineage: Eukaryota; Viridiplantae; Streptophyta; Magnoliopsida; Solanales; Solanaceae
Description: long non-coding RNA (CANN_LNC005123)
Source: RNAcentral